GAUGAACGCUGGCGGCGUGCCUAAUACAUGCAAGUAGAACGCUGAAGGAGGAGCUUGCUCUUCUGGAUGAGUUGCGAACGGGUGAGUAACGCGUAGGUAACCUGCCUGGUAGCGGGGGAUAACUAUUGGAAACGAUAGCUAAUACCGCAUGACAACAGUUAUUGCAUGAUAACUGUUUAAAAGGGGCAACUGCUCCACUACCAGAUGGACCUGCGUUGUAUUAGCUAGUUGGUGAGGUAACGGCUCACCAAGGCGACGAUACAUAGCCGACCUGAGAGGGGGGUCGGCCACCCUGGGACUGGGACACGGCCCAGACUCCUGCGGGAAGCAGCAGUAGGGUAUCUUCGGCAAUGGACGGAAGUCUGACCGAACAACGCCGCGUGAGUGGAGGAGGUUCUCGGAUCGUAAAGCUCUGUUGUAAGAGGAGAACGAGUGUGGGAGUGGAAAGUUCACACUGUGACGGUAUCUUAACAGAAAGCGACGGCUAACUACGUG
This 495-nucleotide ribosomal RNA is filed under the name uncultured bacterium. Its description in RNAcentral is "partial 16S ribosomal RNA". It matches the Rfam family "Bacterial small subunit ribosomal RNA", at positions 28 to 507 of the family's 1533-position model. The record is from RNAcentral.